Small nuclear RNA from Dipodomys ordii (Ord's kangaroo rat), 107 nucleotides. The record is from Ensembl. NCBI's taxonomy places the organism in Eukaryota, Metazoa, Chordata, Mammalia, Rodentia, Heteromyidae.
GUGCUCACUUCGGCAGCACAUAUACUAAUAUUGGAAUGACACAGAGAAGAUUCACAUGGCCCCUGCUCAAGGAUGACAUGUAAAUUUGUGAAGUGUUCCAUUUUUAA